RNAcentral lists this ribosomal RNA (255 nucleotides) under uncultured microorganism. Its description in RNAcentral is "partial 16S ribosomal RNA". It matches the Rfam family "Bacterial small subunit ribosomal RNA", at positions 9 to 261 of the family's 1533-position model. The record is from RNAcentral.
GAGUUUGAUCGUGGCUCAGAUUGAACGCUGGCGGCAUGCCUAACACAUGCAAGUCGAACGGCAGCACUGGGAGCUUGCUCCCUGGUGGCGAGUGGCGGACGGGUGAGUAACGCGUAGGAAUCUGCCUCAUAGCGGGGGACAACUCGGGAAACUCGAGCUAAUACCGCAUACUACUCGAGAGAGGAAAGCAGGGGACCUUCGGGCCGUUGCACUAUGAGAUGAGCCUGCGUUGGAUUAGCUAGUUGGUAGGGUAAA